UGGGGAAUAUUGCACAAUGGAGGGAACUCUGAUGCAGCGACGCCGCGUGAACGAAGAAGGCUUUCGAGUCGUAAAGUUCUUUUAUAUGGGAAGAUAAUGACGGUACCAUAAGAAAAAGCCCCGGCUAACUACGUGCCAGCAGCCGCGGUAAUACGUAGGGGGCUAGCGUUGUCCGGAAUCACUGGGCGUAAAGGUUCGCAGGCGGAAAUGCAAGUCAGGUGUAAAAGGCAGUAGCUUAACUACUGUAAGCAUUUGAAACUGCAUAUCUUGAGAAGAGUAGAGGUAAGUGGAAUUUUUAGUGUAGCGGUGAAAUGCGUAGAUAUUAAAAAGAAUACCGGUGGCGAAGGCGACUUACUGGGCUCAUUCUGACGCUGAGGAACGAAAGCGUGGGUAGCAAACAGG
Molecule: ribosomal RNA, 402 nt
Filed under: bacterium
Lineage: Bacteria
Description: partial 16S ribosomal RNA
Rfam family: Bacterial small subunit ribosomal RNA
Source: RNAcentral